GUUAAGCGACUAAGCGUACACGGUGGAUGCCCUGGCAGUCAGAGGCGAUGAAGGACGUGCUAAUCUGCGAUAAGCGUCGGUAAGGUGAUAUGAACCGUUAUAACCGGCGAUUUCCGAAUGGGGAAACCCAGUGUGAUUCGUCACACUAUCAUUAACUGAAUCCAUAGGUUAAUGAGGCGAACCGGGGGAACUGAAACAUCUAAGUACCCCGAGGAAAAGAAAUCAACCGAGAUUCCCCCAGUAGCGGCGAGCGAACGGGGAGGAGCCCAGAGCCUGAAUCAAUGUGUGUGUUAGUGGAAGCGUCUGGAAAGGCGCGCGAUACAGGGUGACAGCCCCGUACACAAAAAUGCACAUAUUGUGAGCUCGAUGAGUAGGGCGGGACACGUGGUAUCCUGUCUGAAUAUGGGGGGACCAUCCUCCAAGGCUAAAUACUCCUGACUGACCGAUAGUGAACCAGUACCGUGAGGGAAAGGCGAAAAGAACCCCGGCGAGGGGAGUGAAAAAGAACCUGAAACCGUGUACGUACAAGCAGUGGGAGCCU
This 541-nucleotide ribosomal RNA is filed under the name Escherichia coli. RNAcentral describes it as "partial 23S ribosomal RNA". It matches the Rfam family "Bacterial large subunit ribosomal RNA", at positions 1 to 582 of the family's 2925-position model. The record is from RNAcentral. Lineage: Bacteria; Pseudomonadati; Pseudomonadota; Gammaproteobacteria; Enterobacterales; Enterobacteriaceae.